Saimiri boliviensis boliviensis (Bolivian squirrel monkey) is the source of this 246-nucleotide non-coding RNA. Lineage: Eukaryota; Metazoa; Chordata; Mammalia; Primates; Cebidae. The record is from RefSeq and is a predicted model, not a curated record.
GUGACCUUUGAGGAUGUGGCUAUAAACUUCACCCAGGAGGAGUGGGCUUUGUUGGAUCUUCCCAGAAGAAUCUCUACAGAUGUGACAUGGGAAAUCAUCAGGAACCUGAUGUCUGUAGUCUACAUUUUAGGGAUAAAAUGUGAAGACCAGACCAUUGAAGAUCAGAACAGUAAUUCCAGAAGAAAUCUAAGAAGUAAUAUGGUAGAGUCGGUGAAAGUAAAGAAGGUGGUCAGUGUGAAGAAAUCU